UACGUAGGGUGCGAGCGUUAAUCGGAAUUACUGGGCGUAAAGCGUGCGCAGGCGGCGCGUUAAGACAGGUGUGAAAGCCCCGAGCUUAACUUGGGAAUUGCGCUUGUGACUGGCGUGCUGGAGUGUGGCAGAGGGAGGUGGAAUUCCACGUGUAGCAGUGAAAUGCGUAGAGAUGUGGAGGAACACCGGUGGCGAAGGCGGCAUCCUGGACCGGUAUUGACGCUGAGGCGCGAAAGCUAGGGGAGCAAACGGG
This 253-nucleotide ribosomal RNA is filed under the name uncultured bacterium. Its description in RNAcentral is "partial 16S ribosomal RNA". It matches the Rfam family "Bacterial small subunit ribosomal RNA", at positions 524 to 776 of the family's 1533-position model. The record is from RNAcentral.